AGUGAACGCUGGCGGUAGGCCUAACACAUGCAAGUCGAACGGCAGCACAGUAAGAGCUUGCUCUUACGGGUGGCGAGUGGCGGACGGGUGAGGAAUACAUCGGAAUCUACUUUUUCGUGGGGGAUAACGUAGGGAAACUUACGCUAAUACCGCAUACGACCUACGGGUGAAAGCAGGGGAUCUUCGGACCUUGCGCGAUUGAAUGAGCCGAUGUCGGAUUAGCUAGUUGGCGGGGUAAAGGCCCACCAAGGCGACGAUCCGUAGCUGGUCUGAGAGGAUGAUCAGCCACACUGGAACUGAGACACGGUCCAGACUCCGACGGGAGGCAGCAGUGGGGAAUAUUGGACAAUGGGCGCAAGCCUGAUCCAGCCAUACCACGUGGGUGAAGAAGGCCUUCGGGUUGUAAAGCCCUUUUGUUGGGAAAGAAAAGCAGCAGGUUAAUACCCCGCUGUUCUGACGGUACCCAAAGAAUAAGCACCGGCUAACUUCGU
Molecule: ribosomal RNA, 491 nt
Filed under: uncultured bacterium
Lineage: Bacteria
Description: partial 16S ribosomal RNA
Rfam family: Bacterial small subunit ribosomal RNA
Source: RNAcentral